This 73-nucleotide transfer RNA is filed under the name Nocardioidaceae bacterium. RNAcentral describes it as "tRNA-Ala(ggc)". It matches the Rfam family "tRNA". From Rfam's summary of the family: Transfer RNA (tRNA) molecules are approximately 80 nucleotides in length. Their secondary structure includes four short double-helical elements and three loops (D, anti-codon, and T loops). Further hydrogen bonds mediate the characteristic L-shaped molecular structure. tRNAs have two regions of fundamental functional importance: the anti-codon, which is responsible for specific mRNA codon recognition, and the 3' end, to which the tRNAs corresponding amino acid is attached (by aminoacyl-tRNA synthetases). tRNAs cope with the degeneracy of the genetic code in two manners: having more than one tRNA (with a specific anti-codon) for a particular amino acid; and 'wobble' base-pairing, i.e. permitting non-standard base-pairing at the 3rd anti-codon position. RNAcentral also lists the same sequence under 5 other names. The record is from RNAcentral. Lineage: Bacteria; Bacillati; Actinomycetota; Actinomycetes; Propionibacteriales; Nocardioidaceae.
GGGGCUGUGGCGCAGUUGGUAGCGCACCUCCAUGGCAUGGAGGGGGUCAGGGGUUCGAGUCCCCUCAGCUCCA